UAACCACAAGCAAAGUGAGUUUGGAAAAAAAGGGGAGAAAGGUUGUUCGUUCUAGGGUUCAGAGGGGUAUUCUUCGUCUCGAAAUUUCAAGGGUUAAAACCGUUGAUUCUUCCUCUCACAAAUGGUUCCGAUAUUUCAUCAGGUUCUUGAUACCUCUUCUAGUGGGUACAUAGAUGAUGAUCAGCUUGUUGUGAAUUUCAAGAAACAUGACCCUAAGUUUAAAUGGUCGGACAUCAUGGAAUCGUGGGAAUCACUUGUCGCUGGAUCAUCACAGCUUUUGAACGGAGAGAAAUCAAAAUUAGAGGAUGAUGCUCAAGUUCAAGCAUCAGCAGAUGCAUAACAUUCUAUAUCCUAGGAAGGAUCUAACUAGGAUUCAAUAUUCAGCUUCUGAAGACAGUUAAAUGUGAUGCAUAUGCUGAGUUGUUAAAGGUACUACCAGGUGUAGAUGCAGCCCAUGAUGUAGUUACAAAUCUAUUUUAAGUAUUACCUGGUGUAGAUGGAGCCCAUGAUGGCAACUUACUAUCCCAACAAUGUCACUACUGCUCUUAUUCAAUAGGUACGCAUUCACCUUCUGUUCAAACUCCAUUGAAUAGUCUUUAUUUGUCUUAUAUUUGCAUGUGACCCCAUAUGGCACCUUUUGUUGACUUCAUUUAAUUUUUUUCUUUUCUAUUUAGUCAAUAAUAUAUAGUUUAAUAUUAUAGAUGUAAUUUUUGUUUUGUUUUCUAGAUGAUCCUUGUUUAACUUUUGCAGAUUGGUAAGUUUGAUAGCCCUUAGUGGUUGACCAAAUAUUUAUGAUGUGAUAUUACUAAUUGAGUGCAAAUAGCAUGUUAAUAAAUAUAUAGAUUUGUUGAUGUUGGAACUACAAUGGUUCUUACUAAUUGCUUACUUUUUUGUUUAGAAAAACUAAAAUAUGUUCCCUCUAUUGCAAAAUGGACUUGAUACUAAGGUAGAAAAAAACCGAGAAAGCAAGUGAAGGAGAGAAAGAAUAUAGCUAAGAAGAUGCGCAUACUAAAAAAGCUAAUUUUGUAGAUAAGACAAAUAAUGUUCUGUAGAUGAUUGCUUACAUUUUAGGUGAUGCUACUUUGGUUGAUUUAUAAAAAUGAACAUUUGUUUUAUGUGCAGAUUAAAGCUUCUGAUGCUGCAAAGGUUGAGAAAAUAGAAAUGAGUUUUUGGACUAAUUAUAAUGAUUUAAUGGUUAUUUUUUAUUUGUUUUUUCUUAAUAAUUAUUUUAUCAUCUUAGGCUAGGUCUAUAGAAUGAGAUAUUUUGGCCUGAGUGGGUUGAUUCUUGUUACUUUUUUUUUUUUUUAUAUUAUGAUUCUUGUUACUUGGAAAGUAGAGAAUUUGAGUCUAACAUUGAACAAUUUUAAUUAUGGUUUUCUUUUUUUGUACUAUUUCAUACAUUGUAUAUUCUAAUUGGCAAGUUACUGUAAAAGAUCUACUCAAUUCAAUACAAAUUGCUUUGAUCAAUGUGCUUUUUCAUUUAGAUUAUAAGAUGGAAAUGUGAUUAUGAUGAAUGAUAUUGAUAACUUUAUCACAAUAGUAAACCUUGGAAUAUGGGGUAGUUAGGUUUAUAAAGCUAAGCUGAAUUUUGUUUUGUUUCAGCUUGUGUACAAGGUAGUAUAUAUUGAUAAAAAAUAAAAAUGACAAUUAAUCCCUUGACGUGAUAAUUUUUUUAAUAGUUUUUUUUUUUAAUUUUGAAAACAUGUUACCUGCGGAUUUACUUACGGAAUCAAAUUUCCUUUUGGAAAUUACCUGCAGAUUUACUUAUGGAAUUAAAAUUUCCUUCAGAUUUAGUUAUGAAUUUACCUGCGGAUUUAUCAUAAGAUAGUCGAUCCCUAAAGUAUACUAAUUGCAACGGUUGAGAUAUGGGAACGGUUAGAAACCAUUGCCAUUGGGAAGUGUUAUAGCCGUUCUCUAAGGUUUACCUAAAACAACGGUUAUCCCCUAGGCGUUACUGUUUGGUACCAAAUCCGUUGCAAAAUGCUAAGGCAACGCCUCGAUUGGCCACGACCUGAAAACCGUUCUGGUAACUUAAGGCAACGGAUUUUUCAUUUUUUGCAACGGUUUUUUAGUGUUGCUGUAGGCCAACAAUGUUGUAGUGCUUGGCGAUUCCUAUGAUGGACAGAGAAAUACAUGUCACCAAGUAAAGUCGGAACAGGAUUUCCAAUCAGAAAAAUCUUUAUGGCAUUGAUAUCAACAGAACCAACCCAUAGAUGAGCAAGGCUAGUACAGCUUCAAAAGCUAUCACGCUACCAGUUUCGAUGAAAUCAAAGGCCUUCUUUACCAGGAAGUGUGAAGUUAAACCCGGGAGGUUUCCUUUGGUACUCCAAUUACUCUCUACUUCAGAUUUCUUCAAGUGGAUACUUGUUGCAAUGACAUGUGACUUAGGAAUGGCUUCCAAACCAUUGAAAGGUAUUUUGUCAGACACAGGGAUACCCAAAAGAUUGGCAUAUUCUUCCAAGGUCGGUACCAACUGGUAGUCUGGAAAGGUGAAACAACGGUAGACGGGAUCAUAGAACUGAACCAGAGUUUUGAGAAGUCCUUCAUCAACAUGAGUGUUCAGGAUAGGCAAAAGCUUUCCAUAACUUUUCCUAAAAUUAGAAGGAUUUUGUACAGAAGAUGCUAACUCUAUCAGUUUUCCCACAUCAGGCGCUUUGAAACCGUAUUUCUUGGUAUGCCUUUUUACUUCUUCCAUGACUAAAUCCUAAAAUGUUUGCAAAGAAAAUUUCUCUAAAUCUUUGGAAAAAUCAUGUUUUUAUGGAAAAAAUGGGUUUUUUUUUGAAUGUAUGAAUGCGUGGAUGCAUGAAUGCCACAUAUUCAAACAUGGUAAAACAGACAUGGUAAUGGUAACGCAAACAUGGUACACAAACAUGGUAAUUCAAACAUAGUACACACAGGUUCAAAGGUCCAGCGUCACGAGCAUGAGGUCAGAGAACCAAAUAGGGAUAGAUCUAGUUAAUCACCUGUACAACAUGUUCUACUGAUACGUCAGAGUCUACAUUUUUCUUUCGGAUAUUACCGGCUUUCACAACUAAACUGAUGAGCCAGAAAUAUUCUCAAGAAAAACUCGUCUGAGUGUGGUUCUCCGCAUGACAACUAUCCAAGUCUUCACCUCGAUCGUUUCUGCACCACGUCCUAAUAAGGCCAGGAUGGGUUGGGGUUCUACGGUCUCUCAGCUUCUACAGUUCAAUGCGGCAAUAAUGUCUUCGCUACGAAAGCAUGCUAAACAUAUAUUACCAACAAGGAACCUCCACUGAGCGGAAGGAUUCUCAAGUGCGCCUGCACAUGACUAUACCCUCCACCUAAUUUCUUAUGUGUACUUAAUCCGGGUUAGGAUUUGUCCAUAAUGUAUCACUUGUAACAGAACCACACAAGUAACAGAACCAAAGAAUCACACAUAUAACAAAAAUUAAAAUAAAAACAAUAAUUAGAAAUAACCCUUCCUUUGGAAACAAUAAAAAGAUGGUCCCCAGUGAAGUCGCCAUUUUUCUGUCGCGGGCGAAAAACCGUUUUGUUCCUCUUUUUUGUGGAUGAGACACCUGAUGCCUUCUUUGGGCUCGAGUGCUCAAAAAAAUGAUUUUUCUUUUGUACCGACCAAACUUUUUAUUAUUUCCAAAGGAGGAAAAGGAAAAAAGCUGCAAUAACCUAAAAGUGGGGGGAGAUCUUGGGUAAGAGG
Long non-coding RNA from Vicia villosa (hairy vetch), 3676 nucleotides. RefSeq lists it as uncharacterized. The record is from RefSeq and is a predicted model, not a curated record. Lineage: Eukaryota; Viridiplantae; Streptophyta; Magnoliopsida; Fabales; Fabaceae. The transcript has 4 exons.